UACGGGGGGGGCAAGCGUUGUUCGGAAUUACUGGGCGUAAAGGGCUCGUAGGUGGCCAACUAAGUCAGACGUGAAAUCCCUCGGCUUAACCGGGGAACUGCGUCUGAUACUGGAUGGCUUGAGGUUGGGAGAGGGAUGCGGAAUUCCAGGUGUAGCGGUGAAAUGCGUAGAUAUCGAGAGGAACACCGGUGGCGAAGGCGGCCUUCUGGACAGUGACUGACGCUGAGACGCGAAAGCGUGGGGAGCAAACAGG
This 253-nucleotide ribosomal RNA is filed under the name uncultured bacterium. RNAcentral describes it as "partial 16S ribosomal RNA". It matches the Rfam family "Bacterial small subunit ribosomal RNA", at positions 524 to 776 of the family's 1533-position model. The record is from RNAcentral.